Molecule: ribosomal RNA, 482 nt
Filed under: uncultured bacterium
Lineage: Bacteria
Description: bacterial SSU rRNA
Rfam family: Bacterial small subunit ribosomal RNA
Source: RNAcentral
CGUGCCUAAUACAUGCAAGUAGAACGCUGAAGGAAGGAGCUUGCUCUUUCCGGAUGAGUUGCGAACGGGUGAGUAACGCGUAGGUAACCUGCCUGGUAGCGGGGGAUAACUAUUGGAAACGAUAGCUAAUACCGCAUAAUAUUGAUUAUUGCAUGAUAGUCAAUUAAAAGGUGCAAUUGCAUCACUACCAGAUGGACCUGCGUUGUAUUAGCUAGUUGGUGGGGUAACGGCUCACCAAGGCGACGAUACAUAGCCGACCUGAGAGGGUGAUCGGCCACACUGGGACUGAGACACGGCCCAGACUCCUACGGGAGGCAGCAGUAGGGAAUCCUCGGCAAUGGACGGAAGUCUGACCGAGCAACGCCGCGUGAGUGAAGAAGGUUUUCGGAUCGUAAAGCUCUGUUGUAAGAGAAGAACGAGUGUGAGAGUGGAAAGUUCACACUGUGACGGUAUCUUACCAGAAAGGGACGGCUAACUACGUG